Molecule: ribosomal RNA, 254 nt
Filed under: uncultured bacterium
Lineage: Bacteria
Description: partial 16S ribosomal RNA
Rfam family: Bacterial small subunit ribosomal RNA
Source: RNAcentral
UACGGGGGGAGCAAGCGUUGUUCGGAUUUACUGGGCGUAAAGGGCGCGUAGGCGGCCACCGCAAGUCGGUUGUGAAAUCUCCGGGCUUAACCCGGAAAGGUCAAUCGAUACUGCGGGGCUAGAGUGCAGAAGGGGCAACUGGAAUUCUCGGUGUAGCGGUGAAAUGCGUAGAUAUCUGGAGGAACAUCAGUGGCGAAGGCGACACCCUGGACUCAUACUGACACUGAGGUGCGAAAGCGUGGGGAGCAAACAGG